GAUGAACGCUGGCGGCGUGCCUAAUACAUGCAAGUCGAGCGAACGGACAAGAAGCUUGCUUCUCUGAUGUUAGCGGCGGACGGGUGAGUAACACGUGGAUAACCUACCUAUAAGACUGGGAUAACUUCGGGAAACCGGAGCUAAUACCGGAUGAUAUUUUGAACCGCAUGGUUCAAAAGUGAAAGACGGUCUUGCUGUCACUUAUAGAUGGAUCCGCGCUGCAUUAGCUAGUUGGUAAGGUAACGGCUUACCAAGGCAACGAUGCAUAGCCGACCUGAGAGGGUGAUCGGCCACACUGGAACUGAGACACGGUCCAGACUCCUACGGGAGGCAGCAGUAGGGAAUCUUCCGCAAUGGGCGAAAGCCUGACGGAGCAACGCCGCGUGAGUGAUGAAGGUCUUCGGAUCGUAAAACUCUGUUAUUAGGGAAGAACUUAUGUGUAAGUAACUGUGCACAUCUUGACGGUACCUAAUCAGAAAGCCACGGCUAACUACGUG
Molecule: ribosomal RNA, 497 nt
Filed under: uncultured bacterium
Lineage: Bacteria
Description: partial 16S ribosomal RNA
Rfam family: Bacterial small subunit ribosomal RNA
Source: RNAcentral